Molecule: ribosomal RNA, 253 nt
Filed under: uncultured bacterium
Lineage: Bacteria
Description: partial 16S ribosomal RNA
Rfam family: Bacterial small subunit ribosomal RNA
Source: RNAcentral
UACAGAGGUCCCAAGCGUUGUUCGGAUUCACUGGGCGUAAAGGGUGCGUAGGUGGUCGGGUAAGUCCGAUGUGAAAUCUCCAGGCUCAACCUGGAAAUGGCAUUGGAUACUAUCCGGCUUGAGGAGUGGAGGGGGGACUGGAAUUCUCGGUGUAGCAGUGAAAUGCGUAGAUAUCGAGAGGAACACCAGUGGCGAAGGCGAGUCCCUGGACACUUCCUGACACUGAGGCACGAAAGCUAGGGGAGCAAACAGG